CGGGUUCUGAACAAUCCGAAGAGAACGAGGUGUGUUUGUCGCCAGUUCCUGUACCUGAUUUUCCUGUUAAGCCUUUUGUCAAAGUGUGUUUGAAUACCGCGUAUGCAAUCGACAUGCCCAACCAGGUGAAACAUUCAGUGAAAGAGGACUUGUGAUUUUUGGACGAAAGCCAAAGCACCUGCAUUUGAAGUGAAAAAAGUAUCUAUUCGUGUAUUCCAAAACGAAAAAGAUACGAAUUGCGUAGUUAUAUAGAUUUAAGAAAUUAAUAACGAGGUUUAUCUUUGAAGUUUCUGUCGACAGCCACUUCGCGUCCCUACGUGAAAGAUUAUGUGUUUCCUCAGUACACCUCGCAUCUUUCCAAGGAGCAAUAUGUCGAAAUAUUUGCUGCGCUGAUUAGUAAUCUUCUCAAAUUCCAAAGACAUUAUUAUCCCCAUUAAUAUGCCAAAGACUGACAAAAUUUGAUGAAUAUUGAUACUUGUUUUUCAUUUGGAAAAACGGUUGCAAUAAUGAGCAAAUGUGUCAUCGAAAGCUUUGUGUUGAUAUCAAAACCAGAUUAUUUUAAUAACUUUCCUGAUUGGAAGAUUUACGCAAACUGUGUCUCAAUUAAGUACUGUUCGUGUGCUUUAAGGAAAUGUUGCUACAUAAUGAAAAUGGAGUUAAAUAAUUUCAUUAAUAAUAGGUUCCUAAAACAUCACUGAUGAAAAAACGCAAUGUGACGUAAAAGCUUUCCCUAACCACCAACAGUGUAUGCCUCCUAAUAGCAGCGGUGCGCCAAAACCAUUGCUCAACCUAUCGAUGCGUCGGGGUGUACCGCCGAGCGCUGGGAGUACAACACCCUUGGCGCUGCAUAGGUCCGAGUUUGAGGAUUUUAUGAAUGCAUACCGUCCGAGUUUGGACGCCGCUCGCCGAGAACCAGAGCAUUCGAAACCUGCAGAAGAAUCGAAAGUUGACUUCGGUCGUUCCAUUAAAAAACUUAUGAAGAAACCUCAAAACUCGCCAAGCGUCAUAAAGAAAAACCAUCGUAAAGAAGGCAUUCAAAGGACACCGACAGUAGCCCCCGGAUCUAGUAGUCGCCUGGAAAGGGAAAGAAGUGUUGCCAGUGAUGUGAGGCCUGUAACAGAAAAGAAACCAAAGAGGCCUGUUUCAGCUCACUUGGAAGUAACUCCUCUGACGGAUUAUGGACCUGCGAUAAUGCCACCGGACAUCACUAUUCCUAAACUUGAGAUUCCCCCAACUUCUGCACCUCUGAUUCUCCCUAAAAAUCCUUCUGCUCCAGUGGCUUCCCCUAAAAAUCCUCCUGCGCCUGUAGCUUCCCCUAAAAAUCCUCCUGCACCUGUGGUUUCUCCUAAAAAUUCUUCAGCACCUGUGGUUCCCCCUAAAAACCCUAAAGCGGUUCCUAAAAUAUCUAAAGCUAAACAAGAAGACCAGCUUAAGGUGAUUUCGGACAGCGCACCUGUACUACCUGUUGCUCCAUCAAUAGUCCCGGCACCUAACCUCAACCAGGUGAAGAAGAAAGUAUCUAUUCAGGAAGAAAAGCGGAGGUCAGGAACCGAGACUUUCCCAGACGCCCACUGCCUAAUUAUAUCCGGAAAUAACAUUGGUCGGUUUAUACCACCACGUCACAAUCCCGAUCCUAUCCUCAGCAUGCGGGUGGUACCCAUACCAGAGAGGAAAUACCAUGUGAUUCUCGAAUUCCAAGAGAUGGCCCGAGCUCCUAGACCUCAUUCUUCUACUUCUGGACUUCUUGUAUUCGAGCCAGAGGAGAGCAAUUCCACUACGUUCAGAGAACAGAUUCAUUACUUCUCUUGGAUAAGGGAGUCUCACAUAGCCACCAUGGGGAUGCUCCUGCAAAAUGUAGAAAAAAUAACCGACUUUCCCUAUGUCACAUACGUUGUAGUUACUGGUGGUCGACAUGAAUUGGCCCAGAAGUUGCAUGUAGUUCAAGACAGACCGACACCAGAAGAAACCCAGCAGCUGCAUUUCUUAGCUGGGUAUGAAGAAGCUAUAACAAUAGCCAGGCCACCACUGGCAACAUUCCCUGAGAAACCGACAUCCGACAAAACUGGGUUUGUCAUCUGCCUAUACCAAGUCCUUCCAGGAGAUGAUAGCUCCAAGUUUGAACAUCAUUGGAUGGUUUGGACUGGUGCGAGACAAAUCUAUCGCACAAUACCUGAAUACAUGGGCUUGAAAAGGAUAUCUGUACAUAAGAGCGUACUUCCUACCAAGAUCAUUAAUUAUUGCUUGAUAUGUGAAUUUUCUAACAUUAUGGAAUAUCUGACUGAAGCUUGCGUAAUUAUCGAUCAUCUCAGAGCCCGGUGUUGUGGAUUUACUGGCAUCUAUCGAGUUCUGGACACAUUAUAGUGUUGCCAACAACGUGGAAUGUUUUUAUCAUUGUUCUUCUAGUCAUGGAAGAGUUUUGAUUUCAACAACUCAUAUGCCAAAUUAUUCUGCAAAAACUGUUUUGGGAACACAUCGUUUCAUUUGCAUGAUAAAGGAUAUAGGUGAAUAGCAACAUUUGUAAGAUGCUUCAUCUACUCGUUAUUCUUGUGUCUGAAAAGAAAAAUGCAUGUGCAAAAGAGAAAAAAAUUGGCCUACAGCCAUUGUCAAUUGUUAUGACAUCAGUGGAUCUGCAGUGAUCCAUUAAAUGUUCAAGUACAAUUAGAAUUCCAAGGCAAUAUUUAUUGGGCGGAAAUAUAAUGGGUGAAAAAUAUUUUGAAUUAUUCGGUGAUAUAUUAUUAUCAAUUAAAAACAAAGUCUUCUCUUUCAAGUGAAAACGAUACCAAAUUCUUACAAAUUACGUGAAGAAGAAAGGUGUGUUGAAAUCUUUAAUUCAUAUAUCAUUUUAGAAACAAUGGAAACUAGAUUAAAAAACGAAAACUCAACGUAAAACUAGUCUUAAAGUUUUGAAUAUUAUAACAAAAAUCAUAAAAUUCAGAAGUAUGGUUCUCUAUUACAUCGAAGCACUUUUUUUCCUUUUUUGAAAGAAGAGAAUGAAAUUUUAACCUAGGGGAAAAGAAGCAUUGCAGGAAAAGUAUGGAAGCUGGUGAUAUGUACAUUUCAGUUAGAAUUUAGUAUGUUCAUAAAUAAUUAUUUGUACUCAUUCAAGUUUCAUGUAUAACCUGUAAAUUUGUAGUUUGUGUACUUUUAACGUCUCCAGUGUAUUGUUCUAUUAACCGUAUACCUGCAAAACUCAGUUACAAUAAUAAUUUUAUUAAUUUUUUGCUUUUUUAAUAUUAUCUAUUUAGACAAAAAUACAAAAAUAAUAAAGGAAAUAACUCGAAUUUAUUUGAAAUUUUCUUUUAUGAGAACAUCUCUACAAUAUUUCACACAUACAUAUAUGGUAGUAAUGAAGUCAUUUGCAUGUUCAGUUGUAUAAUUUCUAAAUAAUCACCAAAUAAUUGAUUAUCGUAAAUAAAUUUUUUGUUGGUUUUCGUGUAAAAAAUGUUUAAGAAACAUUUAUAAUUGCAAUAAAAAUGUAUGAUAAUAUAUCGUUUUUGUUAAAACAAAUAAUUUAAAAGAUAUUUUCUACUCGAGAAAUAAUUCAACUAAAACUUUUUUCUUACCUAGAAACUAAAAAUAUUACUAAUUCAAAUGAUUUUGUAUAAAUUUAUCCAAUUACGAACGUGCCAGGUAAACGGUUAAUAUGAAAGGAACCAUAUAUUUAUAAGAGAGAUUUGUAAACAGCAAUAGUUAAAUAUAUGUAUAAAUUUAAUUCUCUUGUGAUGUACCCUAAUAACAUUCCUUCUAUUGUUGAAUAAAAUUUUGUGUGCUAAA
Molecule: RNA transcript, 3774 nt
Organism: Stegodyphus dumicola
Lineage: Eukaryota; Metazoa; Arthropoda; Arachnida; Araneae; Eresidae
Source: RefSeq, a predicted model, not a curated record